UACGUAGGGUGCGAGCGUUGUCCGGAAUUAUUGGGCGUAAAGAGCUCGUAGGCGGCUUGUCGCGUCGGAUGUGAAAGCCCGGGGCUUAACUCCGGGUCUGCAUUCGAUACGGGCAGGCUAGAGUUCGGUAGGGGAGAUCGGAAUUCCUGGUGUAGCGGUGAAAUGCGCAGAUAUCAGGAGGAACACCGGUGGCGAAGGCGGCCCCCUGGACCGGAACUGACGCUGAGGCGCGAAAGCGUGGGUAGCAAACGGG
RNAcentral lists this ribosomal RNA (253 nucleotides) under uncultured bacterium. Its description in RNAcentral is "partial 16S ribosomal RNA". It matches the Rfam family "Bacterial small subunit ribosomal RNA", at positions 524 to 776 of the family's 1533-position model. The record is from RNAcentral.